Molecule: ribosomal RNA, 301 nt
Filed under: uncultured bacterium
Lineage: Bacteria
Description: partial 16S ribosomal RNA
Rfam family: Bacterial small subunit ribosomal RNA
Source: RNAcentral
CAGUAGCCGCGGUAAUACGAAGGGUGCAAGCGUUACUCGGAAUUACUGGGCGUAAAGCGUGCGUAGGUGGUUGUUUAAGUCUGCUGUGAAAGCCCUGGGCUCAACCUGGGAAUUGCAGUGGAUACUGGGCGACUAGAGUAAGGUAGAGGAUAGUGGAAUUUCCGGUGUAGCAGUGAAAUGCGUAGAGAUCGGAAGGAACAUCUGUGGCGAAGGCGACUAUCUGGGCCAUUACUGACACUGAGGCACGAAAGCGUGGGGAGCAAACAGGAUUAGAUACCCCAGUAGUCCCUGUCUCUUAUAC